Molecule: long non-coding RNA, 936 nt
Organism: Adelges cooleyi (spruce gall adelgid)
Lineage: Eukaryota; Metazoa; Arthropoda; Insecta; Hemiptera; Adelgidae
Exons: 3
Source: RefSeq, a predicted model, not a curated record
AUUAAUUAUUAGCAUCGAGUAAUAAUUGCAUGUUUGAAUAUAUUUGACGUGUAUUUGUAUUUACGUUACAUUAAUUAGUCUAGAUUAAUUAAAAGUAAAAUAUUUAGCCAAAACCGCGGUAGUGAAGUUUUAAUUAGGGUUCUUUUUUUUUUGUUUUAAUAAUAAAUCUUAAUCUAUUUAUGUGUGUUUUCACGUGCAACUUCGAAAUGAGAAAAAGCCAUUUAUUCGAAAAAAUGUUUUUACAAUAAUUUCCGACGACCCGAGUAGGGCGAGUAAAUAAUAAUAGUAUGACCAUAGGCAAUACCGUUGUAACACAAAUGUAUGCAAACAUGCGCACGCAAACCUUAUAACCUUUGGACGGCGACGAGCAGCCUCGAAAAAUUGAAAAAACAAACCGUUCAUCGAUCGUCGCUAACUUCAUAGACUUCGUAUAAUCCAAUAAACCGUCUCUACCUUCAAUAAAACAGUAAAGACCUCUAAAUCACACUGUCUACCAGCUUCCGCUGAUAAUUUUUUUCUGGGGACUUUGUUAUUAGUUGUUAUUGUUGUUUAUAUAAUUAUUAUGAUUUUUUUUUUACUUUUAUAAUGUUGUUUUCUAGUUUUACUGAAAAUCGUGUCAACGAGAAACAUUCUACUAAUUAUUAUUAUCACGUAUAAAUGCUUUCCCGAUGCAUUAAUUAAGGCGAUAUUUUUUUAUUCCCGCCCUUUCCCUAUUAGUUAUUACAUAUUUUACAUUCCUUAAUUCCCGAACGAACCUUUGAUCAAAACACCCGUAAGUCAAUUCACCGCAUACCUUGUUGCUAUAUCGAACCGAAUUUUCUGCCGUUGCUGAGAUCUCUUGACAAACCUAAUCCGCUCUUACAGGCCGUGUCCUUCAGUCACUCGAACAACUUUAAACAGUUAAUUUUUAGGUGGUAUCAUUUAUAUGGAAAGGCC